AUGCACAAGGGUGGGGAGAGGAGCAUGGGUUUAUACACGGGUGGGGAGAGGAGCAUGGGUUUAUACACGGGUGGGGAGAGGAGCAUGGGUUUAUACAAGGGUGGGGAGAGGUGCAUGGGUUUAUACAAGGGUGGGGAGAGGAGCAUGGGUUUAUACACGGGUGGGGAGAGGAGCAUGGGUUUAUACAAGGGUGGGGAGAGGUGCAUGGGUUUAUACAAGGGUGGGGAGAGGAGCAUGGGUUUAUACACGGGUGGGGAGAGGAGCAUGGGUUUAUACAAGGGUGGGGAGAGGAGCAUGGGUUUAUACACGGGUGGGGAGAGGAGCAUGGGCUUAUACAAGGGUGGGGAGAGGAGCAUGGGCUUAUACAAGGGUGGGGAGAGGAGCAUGGGCUUAUACAAGGGUGGGGAGAGGAGCAUGGGCUUAUACAAGGGUGGGGAGAGGAGCAUGGGCUUAUACAAGGGUGGGGAGAGGAGCAUGGGCUUAUACAAGGGUGGGGAGAGGAGCAUGGGUUUAUACAAGGGUGGGGAGAGGAGCAUGGGUUUAUACAAGGGUGGAGAGAGGAGCAUGGGUUUAUACAAGGGUGGGGAGAGGGGCAUGGGUUUAUACACGGGUGGGGAGAGGAGCAUGGGCUUAUACAAGGGUGGGGAGAGGAGCAUGGGCUUAUACAAGGGUGGGGAGAGGAGCAUGGGCUUAUACAAGGGUGGGGAGAGGAACAUGGGCUUAUACAAGGGUGGGGAGAGGAGCAUGGGCUUAUACAAGGGUGGGGAGAGGAGCAUGGGCUUAUACAAGGGUAGGGAGAGGAGCAUGGGUUUAUACAAGGGUGGGGAGAGGAGCAUGGGCUUAUACAAGGGUGGGGAGAGGAGCAUGGGCUUAUACAAGGGUGGGGAGAGGAGCAUGGGCUUAUACAAGGGUGGGGAGAGGAGCAUGGGCUUAUACAAGGGUGGGGAGAGGAGCAUGGGUUUAUACAAGGGUGGGGAGAGGAGCAUGGGUUUAUACACGGGUGGGGAGAGGAGCAUGGGCUUAAACAAGGGUGGGGAGAGGAGCAUGGGCGUAUACAAGGGUGGGGAGAGGAGCAUGGGUUUAUAUACGGGUGGGGAGAGGAGCAUGGGCUUAUACAAGGGUGGGAAGAGGCGUAUGGGUUUAUACAAGGGUGGGUAG
Molecule: long non-coding RNA, 1158 nt
Filed under: Oncorhynchus kisutch (coho salmon)
Lineage: Eukaryota; Metazoa; Chordata; Actinopteri; Salmoniformes; Salmonidae
Description: lncRNA (ENSOKIG00005013402.1)
Source: RNAcentral